CCACGAACGAUGAAGCCAGCUUGCUGGUGGAUUAGUGGCGAACGGGUGAGUAACACGUGAGUAACCUGCCCUUGACUCUGGGAUAAACCUGGGAAACUGGGUCUAAUACCCCAUAUGACUCCUCAUCGCAUGGUGGGGGGUGGAAAGCUUUUUGUGGUUUUGGAUGGACUCGCGGCCUAUCAGCUUGUUGGUGAGGUAAUGGCUCACCACGGCGACGACAGGUAGCCCGCCUGAGAGGGUGACCCCCCACACUGUGACUGAGACACAGCCCACACUCCUACAGGAGGCAGCACUGGGGAAUAUUGCACACUGGGCGAAAGCCUGAUGCACCGACACCCCGUGAGGGAUGACAGCCUUCUCGUUGUAAACCUCUUUCAGUA
This 380-nucleotide ribosomal RNA is filed under the name Arthrobacter sp. 130-3.2-LH-A-71. Its description in RNAcentral is "bacterial SSU rRNA". It matches the Rfam family "Bacterial small subunit ribosomal RNA", at positions 62 to 441 of the family's 1533-position model. Lineage: Bacteria; Bacillati; Actinomycetota; Actinomycetes; Micrococcales; Micrococcaceae. The record is from RNAcentral.